CCCCUCUCCCCUCUCCCAACCCCUGCGACCAUUAAUGCUAAUGGCAUGUGAAUGAAUGCACAAAGAGGGGGAUGCGAGGCAGAGAAAGAGCGCCAGUGUGACUGACGACUCUGACUGUCCCACUCACUCACUUACUCACUCAUUACACGUCUGCCUGCUCGCUCACUCCCUCACGUCACAUGAAAUUACAGUGGCCGCCGUCAGUCGACAGCGUCGGCGGGCGACAUCGUCAGCGUUGUUCUCAUUGAUUUUGCUUUGUUCGCGUAAAUUGUUCUCCUUAUGCUAAUGUUGUUGCUGUUGCUCUGCCAAAUUGCCAACAGAGAGAAAGAAUGAAUGUGGUGAAGCGGAGAAGAAAGAGGAUUGGGGAGGAAGACUGGAGUGCAGUGGUGCGAGAGUGAAGUCAUUCACUUGAAGAGCGGUGCUAAGCGGGAGAGCAGCAGGAGGAUUGCAAGGCGUACUUGUGCCGGGGAAUGCCAAUGCCUCACCUUGCAUUAAUAUGUUAUAUAUAUUCGAAGAAGACUGGAGCCAGGGAGAGCAGGGAGAGAAAUGGGGUGAGCGUGACUGAUGAAGAAAAGAGAGAGAGGACGGAAUUGCAUGUUAAGUUUACCGUUUAUUUUAAGUUGGGUUUUUCUGCCUAGUGUUAUGCACAAGAAAUAAACAAA
This is a long non-coding RNA of Drosophila pseudoobscura, 662 nucleotides long. RefSeq lists it as uncharacterized. The record is from RefSeq and is a predicted model, not a curated record. NCBI's taxonomy places the organism in Eukaryota, Metazoa, Arthropoda, Insecta, Diptera, Drosophilidae. The transcript has 2 exons.